This 230-nucleotide long non-coding RNA is filed under the name Salvia miltiorrhiza (redroot sage). RNAcentral's name for it is "long non-coding RNA (SMIL_LNC013031)". The record is from RNAcentral. Lineage: Eukaryota; Viridiplantae; Streptophyta; Magnoliopsida; Lamiales; Lamiaceae.
UCUGGAUAAUGUUGGUGUUGUAAAAAAGGUUUCUUUUACUUUCGAACAAUAAUUUCAAUUCACGUAUGUUUUUUUCUUUUAUUUCUUUUGGUAAUUUAUUUAAUUAUGUCUAAGUAAUUGUUUUACUUAGUUUUGGCUAAAAUCGAGUUAAGUAUGAACAAGUAAAAUUGUGAGGUCUAAUCUAGGCAAAGUAGUUGUGUGCGUGUAUUCCUGAAAUACUAGGUCUGAAU